GACGAACGCGGGCGGCGUGCGUAAUACAUGCAAGUAGAACGCACAGGAUGCACCGUAGUUUACUACACCGUAUUCUGUGAGUUGCGAACGGGUGAGUAACGCGUAGGUAACCUGCCUGGUAGCGGGGGAUAACUAUUGGAAACGAUAGCUAAUACCGCAUAAGAACAUUUACUGCAUGGUAGAUGUUUAAAAGGUGCAAAAGCAUCACUACCAGAUGGACCUGCGUUGUAUUAGCUAGUUGGUGAGGUAACGGCUCACCAAGGCAACGAUACAUAGCCGACCUGAGAGGGUGAUCGGCCACACUGGGACUGAGACACGGCCCAGACUCCUACGGGAGGCAGCAGUAGGGAAUCUUCGGCAAUGGGGGGAACCCUGACCGAGCAACGCCGCGUGAGUGAAGAAGGUUUUCGGAUCGUAAAGCUCUGUUGUUAAGGAAGAACGUGUGUGAGAGUGGAAAGUUCACACAGUGACGGUACUUAACCAGAAAGGGACGGCUAACUACGUGCCAGCAGCCGCGGUAAUACGUAGGUCCCGAGCGUUGUCCGGAUUUAUUGGGCGUAAAGCGAGCGCAGGCGGUUAGAUAAGUCUGAAGUGAAAGGCAGUGGCUCAACCAUUGUAGGCUUUGGAAACUGUUUAACUUGAGUGCAGAAGGGGAGAGUGGAAUUCCAUGUGUAGCGGUGAAAUGCGUAGAUAUAUGGAGGAACACCGGUGGCGAAAGCGGCUCUCUGGUCUGUAACUGACGCUGAGGCUCGAAAGCGUGGGGAGCGAACAGG
RNAcentral lists this ribosomal RNA (773 nucleotides) under uncultured Streptococcus sp. Its description in RNAcentral is "bacterial SSU rRNA". It matches the Rfam family "Bacterial small subunit ribosomal RNA", at positions 28 to 776 of the family's 1533-position model. The record is from RNAcentral. Lineage: Bacteria; Bacillati; Bacillota; Bacilli; Lactobacillales; Streptococcaceae.